GGCAUCUGCGUUAGCCGUUUCGCUGUGACAGGGUCUGACUUUUUCUCAAAUCUGACAUCGGGGAGAAGCCCGCCGAGCCCCUGAGCAGAGAACUGCAGUCCCCGCAGGGGCAUAGAAUGUGGUUUCGUCUCUGACAGGACUAUUUCUUGAAAAUAUUAUCCUUUCUCUACUGGAUUGCCUUGACGCUUCUGUCCAAAGUCCAUCCUCCGUGUAGUUCUGAGUAUAUUCUGAACCCUCCGUUCUGUCCAUUGAUCUCUAUCUUUCUGCAAGAGCACAAGGCCCGGAUGAUGGCUGUUUUCACGGUGCGGGUGUUGCACAUCUUUGGUCAAACGUGUCCCCAAGUACGGCUCUUUCUACAAAGACCUACAAAUGGCCAACAAGCAAAUGGAAAGAGGCUCAACAUCCUUAGUCAUUAGGGAAAUGCAAAUUAAAAUUCCACUGAGACGCUACUUCACACCCACUAGGAGGACCAUCAUUUAAAAACAGGCAGAUAACACGUAUCGGAGAGAAUGUGGAAAAGUCAGGGGCAUCAUACAUCACUAGUGCGAAAGAUACUGGUGCGGCCUCCGUGUGGAACAGUGUGGCGCGUCCUCAGUAUGUUAAACAGAGGAUAACCAUGGGACCCAGGAAUUCCACUCCUAGAUAUGGGUCCCAAAACUUGAAAGCAGGUGUUCAAACAAAACUUGUUCAUGAAUGUUUACCGUAACAGCACUAUUCAUAAGAUCCAAAAGGUAGAAACCACCCAAAUGUCCAUCAACGUGUGAAUGGCUGAACAAAAGUGGUCUAUCCAGAUGAUGGAAUAGAAUUCACCCAACAAGGAACAAAGUACUGACACAGGCAACAAUCUCUCCGAACCUCCAAAACCUUUUGCUAAAUUAAAGAAACCGGACAUGAAAGGUCACAUAUUGUAUGAUUCCGUUUUUAUGA
Long non-coding RNA from Zalophus californianus (California sea lion), 927 nucleotides. RefSeq lists it as uncharacterized. The record is from RefSeq and is a predicted model, not a curated record. The transcript has 3 exons. Lineage: Eukaryota; Metazoa; Chordata; Mammalia; Carnivora; Otariidae.